This 127-nucleotide small RNA is filed under the name Marmota monax (woodchuck). The record is from RNAcentral. Lineage: Eukaryota; Metazoa; Chordata; Mammalia; Rodentia; Sciuridae.
GCCGGGCGUGGUGGUGCACACCUGUAAUCCUUGUGGCUCGGGAGGCUGAGGCAGGAGGAUCAUAAGUUCAAGGUCAGCCUCAGAAACUUAGUGAGGCCCUAAACAACUCAGUGAGACCCUGUCUCAA